AGCAGCCGCGGUAAUUCCAGCUCCAAUAGCGUAUAUUAAAGUUGUUGCAGUUAAAAGCUCGUAGUUGAAUUUCGGGAUUGGCGCAUCGGUCGUGCCUCACGGGGUAUGAACUGGUGCAGUCAAUUUCUCACCUUCUGGAGAACCGCGAUGUCCUUAAUUGGAUGCCGCGGGGAACCAGGACCUUUACUUUGAAAAAAACUUAGAGUGUUUAAAGCAGGCAUUUUUGCUUGAAUACAUUAGCAUGGAAUAAUAAAAUAGGACGGCAUGGUUCUAUUUUGUUGGUUUCUAGGACCACCGUAAUGAUUAAUAGGGAUAGUUGGGGGCAUUAGUAUUCAAUUGUCGGAGGUGAAAUUCUUGGAUUUAUUGAAGACUAACUACUGCGAAAGCAUUUGCCAAGGAUGUUUUCAUUAACCAAGAACGAAAGUUAGGGGAUCGAAGACGAUCAGAUACCGUCGUAGUCUUAACCAUAAACUAUGCCGACUAGGAAUCAGACGAUGUUAAUUUUUUAAUGACUCGUUUG
RNAcentral lists this ribosomal RNA (520 nucleotides) under uncultured Entrophospora. Its description in RNAcentral is "SSU rRNA". It matches the Rfam family "Eukaryotic small subunit ribosomal RNA", at positions 569 to 1082 of the family's 1831-position model. The record is from RNAcentral. Lineage: Eukaryota; Fungi; Glomeromycota; Glomeromycetes; Entrophosporales; Entrophosporaceae.